Transfer RNA from Pestalotiopsis fici W106-1, 72 nucleotides. It matches the Rfam family "tRNA". Rfam says of the family: Transfer RNA (tRNA) molecules are approximately 80 nucleotides in length. Their secondary structure includes four short double-helical elements and three loops (D, anti-codon, and T loops). The record is from Rfam. Lineage: Eukaryota; Fungi; Ascomycota; Sordariomycetes; Amphisphaeriales; Sporocadaceae.
GGGAUAUUAGCAUAACGGUAAUGCAUAUGACUUUUAAUCAUCUUUAUAUAAGUUCGAAUCUUGUAUAUCCCA